RNAcentral lists this long non-coding RNA (5280 nucleotides) under Mytilus galloprovincialis (Mediterranean mussel). The record is from RNAcentral. Lineage: Eukaryota; Metazoa; Mollusca; Bivalvia; Mytilida; Mytilidae.
GACAGCCUUCCACUACCAGGGGAAAUAACUCCAGGAUCUGAUCUAGCCAGGAUUAAAUGUUACAGGAAUAAACUAGCUCAUCAUGAUAGUAAUACAAUAGAUACUGCUUAUUUCAAUACAGCAUGGAGAGAUAUAUCAGAGGUAACUGUGGAUCUACAAUAUUGAUACUUUCAUUUAUAUUUGACAUGUUGGACAUUUUUAGAACAUUUCAGUGUUUUUUUACGACUGUAAAAAUUAUUUGUUAUCAUAUUCUCUUGACCAUACUGUAACUGUCGAUCUGUCCAUCCAUUCACAAUACUCAGAGGCCGUUUGACAAAUAACUUGCAUACUUGGUAGGAUUAUUUGUUAUCAUAUUCUCUUGACCAUACUAUACUGUCGAUCUGUCCAUCCAUACACAAUACACAGAUAGUGUUAAUGCAGAUAGUGUUAAUGCAGAUAGCUUGCAUUACUUAGUAGGAUUAUUUGUUAUCUUAUUUCCUUGACUAUACUAUAUUGUCUGUCCGUCCAUUCAUUCACAAUACUAUAAAACCUUUUUACAGAUAACUUUCAUACUUGGUAGGAUUAUUUGUUAUCGUAUUCUCUUGACCAUAUUGUAUUGUUUUUCUGUCGGUCCAUCCAUACACAGAGAUUGUUUGACAAAUAACUUGAAUACUUGGUAGGAUUAUUUAUUAGCAUAUUCCAUUGACCAUAUUAUUGUACUGUCUGUUUGAUGUGAUUUUUUAUGUGAGUUUAUGGACCUGGACUUUGACGUUUUUAGACAACUGUAACACAAUGACUCAUUGUGAACAGUACUCCUCUGCGACUAUUCAACAACAAGCUUUCAUGCUUGGUAGGAUUGUUUGCCGUUAUGUGUAGUUGGCCAUCUUAUACCGACAUGUUGAUUGAAUGAUUUUAAUAGGAGUUAUGGAACUUUGACCAUUUUAUCGACCGCAAAAGACAAAGACACAUUGGUUUUCGCACUAUAACUUAAGUUUAACUGAUGGAUCUUUAUGAAAUUUUACCAUAAGGUUCAAUACCACAAAAGGAAGGUUGGGAUUGAUUUUGGGGGUUAUGGUACCAAAGUUAAGGAAUUAGGGGCCAAAAAGGGGCCAAAAAUAAGCAUUUUUGUAACUUCAAGACAAUAACUUGUGUGUUAUAGUGUAUGGGUCCCUCUGACAUUGUACCACAAGGUUCCAUAUCACAAAGGGAAUGCUGGGAUUGAAUUUUGGGGGUAAUUGCCUCAAAAUUUUAAGAAUUAGGGGCCAAAAAGGGGAAAAAACAAGCAUUUUUCUAGUUUCAUGACAAUAACUUGUGUGUAAGUGUAUGGAUCUAUCUGAAAUUGUACUACAAGGUUCCAUAUCACAAAGGGAAAGCUGGAAUUGAGUUUGGGGGUAAUUGCCUGAAACGUUAAGGAAUUAGGGGCCAAAAAGGGGAAAAAAUAAGCAUUUUUCUAGUUUCCAGACAAUAACUUGUGUUCAAGUGUAUGGAUCUCUCUGAAAUUGUACUGCAAGGUACCAUACAACAAAGAGAAGGCUUGGAUUUAGUUUGGGAGAUGAAUCAUAAGGGGGUUCAACAAAUUUGGGUGGGUUUCUCUUUUUCCUUUUUUUUUCCUAUAAAAUUUUCCAUUUUAAGUUGGUUAUUUCUGAUUUAUAUAUGGACCAUAAUUUGGUAUUCGGCCUUUGGUUUCUUUUUGUAUCCUUUUUUAUAAGUUCUAAAAUUUUAACUUUUAUUUUGUGGGUUGUGUUGAUGUUAGAAUAGUAUGAAUGGAACAAUUGAGUUUUUCGAGAAAAAAUUAAUACAUGUUGAUUCACCGUUUACGUGACAGGAAACCAAACAGGAAACCAAUCUUUAUUUUCUUUAUUUUGCACAAUAUAAUUCAAAAGGCAUAAAUAAACACCAUUACUAGUGUUACUUGCUUCAUGUUAAUAUUUAAAAUCUAUUUUCAAUGUUAUAUUAAAGUUUUUUUAAACGUGACAGGAAACCAUAAGAAACCGAAAGCAUUUUUUUAGUUUUAUUUUAUUGCAAAAUCUGCUUAAAAUAAUCUGAACAGUAUACUAUUUCUUAAAAUCCAUCUUAAAUGUAACAGUAUUAUAAAACUCCUAAAUAUGUGCUUGUUUUGAAAACAAUUAGUACAAUUUAUUCAGAAUUUUCCAUAUUUUCUUCAUUGAUACAGGAUACCAUAUUCGUUGUAUCUUGAUGUUUUGGCCAAAAAAAUAUAUUUAUAUUUGGUUUUGAAAUUCCAGUUAUAUAAAAUUUAUUCCAAAUCAUUGGCAAUGUAAAAUUCUUUAAAUCCAGUAAAGAAAAAAACUUUUAACUUGGAAUUAAAAUCUUUAAAAUAGGCACCAUGUGAUAUUUGUGACCUGUACACCAUCUACAUGGUUUCCACAUUUUAACCUACUUUAGUGGGCUAAAAUCAAUAAAGUACUUCCUUUCAAGUCAUGCCUGGUAAAAGUUUACCUUUCCUUUGACAAGUUUUUUGCGUUUCUGAAAAGUGUUUGCAGAACAUGAAUAAAAAAAAAUAAUUAAAAAUUGUGACAAAGUUACCAACUUUGUACAUUCCUAGUGUAACGGUAUAUUAACAUGCAUUUUUCAUUUAAUUAUCUUUAUUUCACCUAAAAUAUCCAGUAAUAUUUACUGCUGAAGCAAAAUCAAUCCAACGAACAUCGGCACCAAUGAUAAGAGACGUAAUUUCGAUUGAAUUUUUCCAAGGACCCUUUACAUCGUUAUUGGGAAACGUAGUGUGUUUAAACGUCGGUCAAAUUUGAAAUCGAUUUUGUCAAGUCAUUGGGCAUUUAUUUUCACACAAGAUCGUAUGUAACAUUAUGCACAUAGGAAAUAAUAAUAGACCCCCGGCGCAAUCUCUUUGAAAAUUGUAUUUUCCUUUUUUAAACAAGUCGAAACAAGUCUACAGAUUAUGUUUGCUAACAUCCCAUUGGAAAAAAAACAAUGUUUAGAACUAGUAUAUCGUAUGUCCGGCUGUAAGGGCGUGAUCACAUGUUAGUCACAUGUUUCACGCAUGACCGGAAAUGAUUAGAACUUAAGGACAAAAACAAUUUUAAUAAAUAACUGGACUUCUGUUUCGUGUGAAAUGUAACGCAUAACGAUAACGUCAUUUUCUUACUUAAUUAUUACGAAGAUCAAAACAAGAAUUUAAAUCAUCUCUGAUUUACCUGUUUGAACAUCUCGCGAGAGUUCAUAUUUGCAUAUUGUUUUUAAGAAUUCUAUUACAACAAAGCAGAUUACAUCAUCUAAAAUUUGCGUUACGAAAUAGGACACAAAAAUCACGCCACUGUUCUUACAUCUGCUACAUAAAUACUUAUAGUUCUCGGCAUUUUCUUCUCACUAUUCUUAUUGGUCGAUGUUCUUUGUUAUUUGAAAGCAAAAGUUACAAAUUUGCCGGUGACGAUUAUCUAUAAAUCAGUCAGCGUUAUGCUCUUCGGAAGCAAAAAGUAACGCGAGAAACGACACAAAAAUACGGUUGUAGAAUCUUUGAAAUUCGUAUAUAUCAAUUUUUUUUUUCUAGGGGGUGGGGGGAGGUAGGGAAGAGGAGGGGGGGGGUAGCAUACACUUGUAUGUUAAUAAAAAUAAUGGCAUCUUUAGAUGUAGUUACAACUUUUCUUACAGUAAUUCAAAUUUUAUCACUUUUCUAUAGUUAUAGGAAACCGAGCCCAAUAGCAAAUUAUGGUCCAUAUAAAAGCAAAUAAUGAUAUGGCAGGAGAUACGCACCAAACAGGAUGUGUAAAUUAUUAUAUAAAGUAUUGUGUACUUUAGCAAGAAAUUUUCAAUUGCACAGUAUUGUGCAAUAGCAAGAAAUUUUCAAUUGCACAGUAUUGCGCAAUAGCAAGAAAUAUCCAAUAGCACAAUAUUGCGCAAUAGCAAGAAAUCUCCAAUUUCACAGUAUUGCGCAGUAGCAAGAAAUAUUGAAUCGCACAGUAUUGCGCAAUUGCAAUAAAUAUUCAAUUGUACAGUAUUGGGCAAUAGCAAGAAAUCUUCUUUUGCACAGUAUUGGGCAAUAGCAAGAAAUCUUCUUUUGCACAGUAUUACACAAUACCAAGAAAUCUCAAUUGAAUUUUUUCAAGUUGGCCCCAAUGGGGGUCCAAAAUUUUGUUUGAUUUCAUCAAAAAUUGAAUAUAUGGGGUUCUUUGAUAUGCUGAAUCUAACCAUGUAUUGAGAUUUUGGAAAUAAGACCAUAAUAGCUAAAUUAAAAAAAAAUAAGUUCUUAGACCAAUUUCAUUCUGUGUCAGAAACCUAUGCUGUGUCAAAUAAUAAAUCACUAUCCAAAUUCAGAGCUGUAUCAAGCUUGAAUGUUGUGUCCAUACUUCAUGUACUUGCCCCAUCUGUUCAGGGUUCGACCUCUGUGGUAGUAUCAAGCUGCGCCCAGCGGAGCAUUUUAUUAGACUAUUAAUAUACACUGACACCUUGUGUAGCCUAUUGCUAAUGCCUGUAAUUAAUGGUACUCCUUUGAUACAGUUUGACAGAAAGCUCUAAAACUUGGCAGGAUUUGUAGGUCUUUAUGUGUAUGUGGCCAUAUAAUACCGUCAUGUUGGUGCAACUCUCAUUUAUUGGGAAUUAUAGGACUUUGACUUUUUCUUUACAUAUAUAUAAAUAUAUGUGUAUACCACAAUGACACCAUGUCUGGCCCUUUGAAUCACAGCUCAAAAAACACUUUAUAAUGUAAUCGAUGAUUCGUUGUACAUUUUUAUACUUGUGUAAAAAGCAAUUCCUAUCAAUCUUGAUUUACAAGCAAGGUCCUAUUAAAUGAAUUAAAAAUGAUUAUUGUACAUAGACACGAUAAAGAAUAAUGUUUUGAAGCAUACAAAAUUACCAGAUAUCGAACUAUUUAUUUAUAGGCUGUAAGUCGACUGGGAGGUCAAACACUGUAUAAAGAGUGUCAAGAGUUAAAGGUAAAAAUCUUAGACCAGUCUAAUCAGGAAAUUAUGUUGGAAAUCAAACAAUCACUGGAAGAGAUGAAAGAACUGAAACUUACAGUGGAUAAUUUGGGAAUGGAACACUCUAGAGUGACAGAAAAUUUUAGAGAGUUACAGACUUCCCACAAUACGUUACAAACAGAACACUCAAAAGUUAUGGAAAUUGUGAAAGACCCAAUACCAUGGAACAUCAAAGGUACAUUAUACUUAUUGAUACAGAUAAAAGUAGACUAUCAAUUGACAGGGUAAAUAUUUACCAAUUCUUCAAUUUCUCAUAUAAUUGGAAAUGUUUUAAUUUUACGUCACGUAUAUUGAUCGAUACAAAUAUCAACAUUCCCUACAGAAAUGGAGGUAAUGUGAUUUUAUUAUAAAA